This 616-nucleotide long non-coding RNA is filed under the name Daucus carota (carrot). RNAcentral's name for it is "long non-coding RNA (DCAR_LNC002145)". Lineage: Eukaryota; Viridiplantae; Streptophyta; Magnoliopsida; Apiales; Apiaceae. The record is from RNAcentral.
UACUUAUCACAAAGGGGUACCUGAUCAAGGUAAUGGGAGGAGAAGUAAUAACAACUCAUGUACACCUCACCACUGUGUUGUAUCUUUAUUCAGGUGGUACGUGGUAUGAUUCCUAAGAAACAGUGGUAUUGGUUCACCACUAUCUCUGACAGAGGGAGAAGCAUAAGCAAAGACUUGUUCUUUACUUGUGAGGAAUCAUGGUGAUACAUUUAUUCUUCAGAAAGUGGUAAACAAGAACUUAUUCAUCAUCAUCAUUGAAGAAUUCAAUGAAGCUGCUGAUUAUUCUUUGCAUAAUGGAAUGUUUUGAAUUCUCUUCAAGACAAACUAUGAGGAUUAUCUGGCAGGUAAGAAAGGACCAGAGAAAUAAAGGUGAUAUGCACAUUUGUUAUUUCUAUUCAUGAAAUCUGGAAAUGUACUAUAUGAUCCAGAAACUUUGUAGCAUUAUUUACUAGUCCAGGAUUUUACUUUUUCUAGUGUUAGUUGAGUUAUCCUCCAGAGGAUUUGCUUGUUAUGAUUAACAAACAAAUAGGGGGAGAUUGUAAGUCUAAAUGUAAAGACAACCCUAUCUGUUACAUAGGGAUGAUAACUCAACAAUAGAACAGGACAAGUAAAUAAC